UACAGAGGUCCCAAGCGUUGUUCGGAUUCACUGGGCGUAAAGGGUGCGUAGGCGGUCGGGUAAGUCUGAUGUGAAAUCUCAGAGCUCAACUCUGAAACUGCAUUGGAUACUAUUCGGCUUGAGGACUGGAGAGGAGACUGGAAUUUACGGUGUAGCGGUGAAAUGCGUAGAUAUCGUAAGGAAGACCAGUGGCGAAGGCGGGUCUCUGGACAGUUCCUGACGCUGGAGGCACGAAGGCCAGGGGAGCAAACGGG
Molecule: ribosomal RNA, 254 nt
Filed under: uncultured bacterium
Lineage: Bacteria
Description: partial 16S ribosomal RNA
Rfam family: Bacterial small subunit ribosomal RNA
Source: RNAcentral